GAGCCUGUUUGAGAAGUCUGUGAUUCACUUCCCGUCUUCAGCCCUUGUUUAAUAUUCCCUCCAUUGUUACCAAACAAUCCAGGCCCCGUGGCGUGGUGUUCUGCUGCUCUGGCCAAGGAAGGAGGAGAAAGAGCUGUUUAAACGGCCCAGGGAGAUGGGCCCCUGGCUUACUUGAAAUACAGGCCUUGAUAGCACUGGGGCCCCAACAGCUGGAGGAGUACUAGGUGCAAGAACGCAGUCCUGCACAGCAACGGCUGGCUCUGGCCUUCCUUCUCUUGCUGGGCGCCCCUGCCCUUUGUUGUGGUAGUUGCUGCUUUGCUAGCCGACAGCUGUGAUUUCCAUUUUGGGUCUCAGAUAGUUUGGGAUCAUAGAUUCACACCAGCGUCGGCUCAGAAGGACCCUUGGGUAGAUACUGUGCCCUCCUGAGCCCCAGUUUCUUCAUGUGUAGGGGAAAAGCCGGGGGGCGGCUAUGAAAUGGCUGCCCUUGAGAGCCCUCCCCACCUUCUACCCCUCCACACCGCAGUCGUGUGGUUCCUGAGCCUGGAUGAUAGUACGAGAGGUCAUCUGUGUGCCCUCCGGUGUCCGGACGGAUUUCCGCCAAAGCCGCCCCAGGUGUGAGCAGGUCUGUGGGCCAUCACACUCCCUGUGCGACCUCUGGCUUCAGAGGUCAGCGGUUCCACAGCCUCCCCCACCGUUCUCAUUUGAAGCCACCUUCUCUCUCAGCAAGUUGUUUGAUAUCCACGUAAUUCCUUCAGAUCACGUCCUAGCUGUGACUGCCGCAGAAGGGAAUUUUGGUGGCAGUCCUCCAUCUCGAUCACACAUUUGCUCUGCUUCCAUCGACGAUUCAGCUUUGGUCCGUCCGAGGCCUGCGUGCCUAGUGGCAGUAAAGGAACGUGGCCACCUUUAAGCUACUUUCGGCUGCGAGUGUGCUCCCGUAGGUAUGUGGGAUGUCAGCGCUUAGAAGGCAGCGAGCCACUGCAGGUGGAUUGACCCCAUCGUUAUAUAGCAGCAUACUAUACUCGGCCCGGGGGUCUGUGUGCCUUCAACUCUGCUGACUCUACAGCUGAUACAAUUGACAUUCAACAGACAUUUGUUUAGCAGAUUUAUUGCAAGGCCUCCUAACUAAUGACUGCCCAUAGUCUUAGCCACCGAUGACUUCGUGUGCCUGUCUGUCUGUCUCUGUCUCUGGUGUGGCAGGGGAAGUGGGAGGAACUUCCUUUCUCCAAAGCAUUUUAACUCCCGCACUUCCCCACUGGCGGCUUCAGCGCCGCAGGUGGGCUGUUUUGACCCGCAUCUCUCAAGAUGAGCUGUUGGCAGGGGGCUGCCAUGUGGCUCAGUCGAUUCUGCUCAGGCCACGAUCUCAUGGUUUGCGAGUUCGAGCCCUGCCUCGGGCUCUGUGCUGACCAUGGGGAGCCUGCCUAGGAUUCUCUCUCUUUUCCAUUCUCUCUGCCCCUCCCCCCACGCUUGUGUGCACACUCUCUCAAAAUAACCUUAAAAAAAAAAAAAAAAAAAACAGCUGCUGGUUUACAGAAUGUUUCUGAUACUGUCUCUGGCAGUAAUGUGAGGCUGUGGAUCCCUCUGCUACGGGGCUUGAUGUCUUGAUUGGGUUCAUAAGGCUGGGGUGCAGCCGAGGUUUUUGUUUCCUACAUCUUCUGAUGGUUGAUGCCCAGAGGAAUAAUUCCAUUAUCAUGACCUGCUUGUGAGCAAAUGUAACAUGUAAGCCAGUGCUCCAUCCGGGGUACCGGGAAAGCUAAGUUGGGUCUCCUUGCCCUCGAGGGGCUCCUGUCUUCAUUGGGAAGAGAAGCCAGAAACGCAUGGAAGUUACUUAACCGCACCAGGCCCUGGGUGCUAAGUGCUGAGGUAGGUGAGUAUGGGACAAUAGAGAUUGAGACUUUGAGGAAGGAGGACCCAUAGAGGGCAUUCUGCAGAAGGAGCCACAGAAUGGGAUGAGUUUUGAUCUAGAGGCAUAGUGAGGCCUGUCAGAGGGCUGAAGAGAGUCUCUGGACCCACGUGUCUUAUUGGCAUGCUGCCACCGGUGCAGAUCUCUGGCUCCGGGACACAGAAGCCCCGUGUUCAGAUGCUGUGGCUGCAGCAUGUUACCUCUGCUGCUUGGGCGGGUUAAGCACUGAAUUUCUGGGCCUAUAGAUCAGGCCUUGACACAUCUGUCUGCUGUCUGCGAACUGGGGGCCUGACGAGGGGGUGAGUGGGUGGGUCCCAGUGCGAAUCUUGGCUGGGACUGGGUGGGCUGAUCGUGGAGAGAGUGGUAAAUGCCCAGGACUUUGUCACCUGGAAGUCUUUCUGUGCUCCUGCCUUGAGAUGCAGCUUUCAGCCAAGAGCCAUUCAGUGGCAGGCUUUUGCCACUCUGGCAUUUUAAGUGCUUGCCUGGCUCUCUAAAGUCCUUCCUUGUUGGCUUGGAAUUCCUAUCUUCCUGCCCAUAGGGGUUCUUUGCUGCCUUAGGUGAAAUUGCCCCCAAUGAACCCGAACCUUUUGUUAAGGUACAAUAGGAAGUCUGUCCCCUUAGACAGAAAGGAAUGCUAAUUGGUUGAUUAUCUGUCCUCAAGAUCGGGAUGCCCAGAACAUACAGACACCCAUUCUUUGUUACAGGUUAGAUGCAAAGUGCUUCUGUGAGCUGGUAAAGCUUUGGUCCAGAUAGGAGGAGAGAGUUUGUGGAAGGUCAGAGAUUGGUGGCCUGCAAAUGCCGUAUUUUCUAUGUACAGAGGUAGCCAUUUAACUUCAUGGUCCUUAAACUGACUUUUUCUAGACCUGUGAUCAUUUUCCACUCCUCCCUCACUUCCAGCUCCAAACAGGGCAAGAGUUAUAAAUGUGGUUAAGACUGAAACACGGGGAAGUUCACUUUUCGAGCCCGUAUUGUAUGGUAUCUUGCUAGGAAUUGUAACAUUGGAGUUGGAGCCAGCACUGCCUCCCUCUCCCAUGGAAUGUCCCCCGCAUUGCCCUGUUUACCCUUCACAUGUUCUCCAACAUUAGUGACAUUGUUUUAUCUCCCUGGCCAGUGACUCAUAAUUAAGGAAGUCAAAACCGUGCAAUUAACGCAAAACCUCCUUACUUGCCCUCUUCACCUCUGCCCCCCCCCUCCCCCCCGUAAAUGCCCUAGACACGAACACCAGCCCGAUGUUUUCUAGAAGUCUUUGGAAACUUUGAUGUGUUUUGAUAGAAUGAGGCAGCCGGUUAUUAUCACCAUCACCUGGUUCCACUUGUUUAACCCCAAAUGUCUGUGAGAAUCUUCUCAAAAAAAAGAAGAAAAAUGAAAGAAGAAAGACAAUCCCACCCCUAAACGUGCAGUCUGCCCACAGGAAGUGAUUCACGGGGCUCUAUUCAUGCAAACCUGAUGGGGCAGGAGGUGGGAGGCUGGGAACUGGGUCUGGGAAAAGACGGCCCGGAGAGGAUACUCAGACCUUAAUGGUUUCUGCUUUGUGGAAGAAAGUGAAAAACAGAAUGACUAAGAGUCCUGUAAUAAGAAUUGUUUGUUUAGUGAAGUGAGCUAAUAUUGAAGUUCACUGGCAGAUAAGACAGGGGAAAUAGCAGUUGUCAGGGGAGGUGACUUUCUGGUGCCCUGCCCUUUUUAUUUUUUAAGGAGCAAAGAUAUUUCUCAGUCUUAAGGCAUUUAUUAGUGGAAGGUCAAGAUCUGUACUUGAGCACCACCCCCCCUCCUGCCCCCAUCCUACUCCCUCUUACCCGCCCCCCCCCACAUCGUACCCUUUGCAGAGACAAGGGUCUAAGCCAAGGUAAUUAUCUAAUAGUCUUUUUUUCUUUUUGCCUUUUCCCCCAAAGUUAGAUUUUGGAGGCUAGUAAAGAUCUUUCUUUCCCUAACUGGUCAUUUUUGUUUCCCCACCUGGAACAUCACAUUGUCCGAGAGACAAGGAAUCCUUUCUGUUCUGGUUGUUUCUGUCCUGUAGAUAGAGCUUGGCAUUUUAUUUUUAUUUUGUCUUUUCCUGAAUUGAAAUACAAAUCCAUCCGUUUCCCAAAAGCAAUUUGGGAACAGAGCCUACAAGUGUUGGUCAUGUUAACAGCCCUGCUGUAGGACCGGGCUGUAGGAGGGCCCAAGGCCCGAAGCACCCAAGAGAUUAGGAAGAGGUAUCUAAACACACCUGGAUUUAUGAUUCUGUUUCAAGUUCCCUGUAUUUUAUGAGGUGAGCUUUGGGGGUGGGGGUUGUAACAAAAGUUGGGCUGAAAUGGGCUUUUUGCCUUAAGCCCAUCAGAACAUUUCCAAGGGCUGUGAGUGUCCGGAAAGGUCUGUGAGUGAUCUCUUUAAAAACAAACAAAUGAUCUUCAGGCUUAAUUCCACUCGGAGUGAAUGUUAACUGGCAGGGUGAAAUGGGGAUCCAGAAAGUUCUGUGAAUCCUGGGAACUACUCUUUUCCCUUCUUCCAGUAACCAGAGACCAACCCAGAUCUCUAGCCUCUUCCAAUUGUGACCUAAAGUCUCUGGGAUCCUGCUGAUCCCCAAGAAAAAGCACCCCUACCCCGUCAAGCUGGUACUUGGAGAAAAAAAAAGCUUUCGAAAACCAAGGGUGUUAAAUAGAUUUCCAAAGAAACCUCCUUCUCCCCUAAGACUUAACUACUUUCUUUGUGUGGAGGAAGAGAGGGAACAAGGACAGCUGUCUCAUCAGAGCCCACGGAGAAUCUGAUCAUUCUAACAGGAUGCACAUUGUGUUUUGAGAUCAUAGGAGCUGGGUUUGGGGUGUAACACCCAGAUUCAAUGCCAGGCACUGCUGCUUGCCUCUCUAGGUAACUUUAGGCACAUCCCCCAACAUCACACGAACCUUUUACCUGUAAAGUGAGAGGAUACCCACCACACAGGAGGGAGAAGUGCCAGGUAGACACCUGCUCUGAGCUGUGAAUUGUUUCUGUCCCCCACCCCAACCAAUGCCAGAGCAUUUCUGUAACCCACAAGUUCUCAAGGGACCCAGAAGAGUGAAUUUGCCCCCUGGGGGGACAUUGGGCAAUAUGUGGGGACACUUUUGGUUAUCACAACUGGGGCUGGGAGCGGCAUCUAGUGGGUAGAGACCAAGAAUGCUGCUAAACAUGCUACAGUACACAUAAUAGUUCCCACCCCCCCCACCCCCAAAGAAUCAUCUGGCCCCAAACGUCGGGAGAGCUGAGGUUGAUAAACAGUAGGGCUCGCCUUCCAGCCGCAUGUUGAAAAGGUCUUGGUGUACGUGUGCUUUACAGAUGAUCAUAAUUAAGCUGAGCUCUUUCCAUAAAUCAGCCUUCUGUUUUUCCCAGGAAGCGCACAUUCUGUGCCCACCCUUGGCCCCUGGGGAGGAAGGAAGCCCUGAGGUCCUGAUGAUCUCCAUGUGUUUCCCAUAGGGUCUGGCCCCUCACAGAGGGCAGGCGAGGUGUUCCUCCUUUGAGAGUCUGCCGAGGGUGCUCUUUGAACUUCUGGGGCCCACACGGAGGACUCAUCUGCAAGGGGUACUCAUCACAGACCUGAGCAGACUGCCUUGGAAGACUGGCAGGGAGAGGAGAGCCCUAGAUACAGUGCAGAGAAGUGGAGAAAAGGGUAGCCUCUGCUCUGGGGCAAAGCACUGGGGGCUUCGGCCUGGCGUUUUAUUGGGUGUUCACUGAAUUUGGCAGCCCGAGGCAUCGGAUAUUAUCCAUUUGCAAGUUCAGAUGGGAAUUGAGUUGUUCUUUGUGGAAGUGGUUCAGUGACUGGUGUCAAGGGUUGUGAAAUCCUGGUUUGAACUCCUCGUACGCCAGUCUAACCUGGAUCAUUAAAAAACGUGCUUCUACUUUCAGAACCUACCGAGAAUGCUUCCGAAACUGGGUGAGAGCAUAUGGUCCCUGUGGCAGAGCUCAUAACGAAACCUCAGUUAUCCAGAACCUACCCUACCACAGCCUUCAUCUAGCCGGGGUCCUUCUUUACGGCACCAAGUGACGACAACAGGCUGGUGUUGGGAAUGUUUUUUAUUUAAACUCCAACCACCAAAGAAAACCCUGCACGUGUCUGGGAAUAGUAUAUUCCAUGUAUGGCUCAAUUUUGGGUUUGUCUGUCACUUUUUGUGUUAAUAUAAUUUCAAGCCUCAGAAAGUUGUCGUGGGUAGGACAGGAAGUACGGUAUUCUCCCUUCACCAGAGUCAUCAGUUGUGCUGUCCUGCUUUUGGACAUCCGUCCUGAAGAGUGAGACCUUCAGGCCGCUUAAGAUGCAGUUGCAACAAGGAAAGAGUGACGUUUGAUUGUACUCGACUUCCCAGGGUGGGAAGGUGGACGCAUACACAUUACAGACUUCAUCAGUGGGGAGGCUGGCUCCGGUGAAAUGAAGGUUGGGAAGCCAUCUGCUCACUCUGUGUUCAUUUGCUGGGUGACCUGGAGGUGCUUAAUCCAUCAUUCUGUUCCUCAGCCAUGAGAGGAAGGGAAUAGACAAGACCCUCUCAAGGCUCCUCAGGUCCGAGCUAUGUGUAGUUCUCCACAGUGGGUUUUCAGGCAGACAUCGACUUAGCCAGGACUUCAGCUGACCAGGACGCUUUGUUCCCUGAGUGUUAGGGCUCUGUGGUUUGUCACCCACAGCCAGGAGACUCAGCACAAAACCCCCGGCAGGAGUUCUGCCCAGAACAAAGGAUGCCUUGGUGUUAGCUCUGUUUACCAAAGGGAAUGGAUCCUGGGUGAACCCCCAGAUCAGAUAACCCUCUCAGCAGGAGUGUUUUCUGGGCUUUCUCACUUGCUACUCUGUCAGAUCGUUCGUUGUCCUGGGUUGUCCAUGGCAUGGAAGAAGGAAGGGCAUGUUCUGAUGGUUGCGUGCUAAGAAGCAGCAGAGAGGGAGAGCUCUCAGGCCAAGUGGAACCAAUGAAAGGGGACUUUUAAAGUCUCCACAAUUUUUUUCUGCCUUCUGAGGUAGAUGGUCUGUUUCUUAGGCGGUCUGCUGAGUGAGCAUAUAACCCAAACUUGAAGUCACUCAAACCUUUUAUUUUGCACCAGAAAAACAAAACAAAAAAAGAAAACCCACAUAUAAUGCAAAGCUCAAGGAGAGUAUAGUAUAGGGGCCCCUGGGUGGCUUAGUCACUUGAGCAUCCGACUCUUGAUUUUGGCUCAGGUCACGAUCUCACGGUUUGUGAGAUGAUACCCCAAGUUGGGAUUCUCUCUCUUUCCCUCUCUCUCUGCCUCUCCGCCUCUUUCUCUCCCUCUUUCUUUCCUUCUCACUCUCUCUCAAAAUAAGUAAGUAAACUUUAAAAAAAAAUAUUUUAUUGCAGGUGAGUAGACACAUGGCUUGAUUGUUGUCAGAAGGAGGUAGGGGAGGCCUCAUCCCACUGGGGCGGGAGGGGAAUGCCUCAAACGUUCAGCUGCAGCACCCGUGUUCAGGGAGUAAUGGGCAUGGGUGUAGGUUUGUGGUAUAACUAGCAACCCCAAGAUGGGAAAUAACCCCUUUUUCUUACACUAAGACAUAGCAAAUAUUAGGGGAACAAUGUAAAAGUACAGAAUAAAUUGAGUUGAAAGGGAUACCAAAGGUUUGGUUUUGGGGGUUACCGUGCUAGUUGAGUCACUUCAAAAAGUUAACAUUUGGUUUAGUAAUUGGAGUAAGUCCACAUGUAAUGCAAAUGGAUUCUAAAAGUCUGUAGGUAGGUGGUUCUCCAUAAACAAAACCAAUCCUUCUGAAACGGUCACCUCUUCUCUUGGUGU
Molecule: long non-coding RNA, 7630 nt
Organism: Felis catus (domestic cat)
Lineage: Eukaryota; Metazoa; Chordata; Mammalia; Carnivora; Felidae
Exons: 2
Source: RefSeq, a predicted model, not a curated record